This 72-nucleotide transfer RNA is filed under the name Camelus bactrianus (Bactrian camel). It matches the Rfam family "tRNA". Rfam says of the family: Transfer RNA (tRNA) molecules are approximately 80 nucleotides in length. Their secondary structure includes four short double-helical elements and three loops (D, anti-codon, and T loops). Lineage: Eukaryota; Metazoa; Chordata; Mammalia; Artiodactyla; Camelidae. RNAcentral also lists the same sequence under 2 other names. The record is from Rfam by way of RNAcentral.
GAGGGUAUAGCUCAGUGGCAGAAUGUGUGCUUAGCAUGCACAAGGUCCUGGGAUCAAUCCUUAGUACCUCCA